This is a non-coding RNA of Pelodiscus sinensis (Chinese soft-shelled turtle), 1150 nucleotides long. Lineage: Eukaryota; Metazoa; Chordata; Testudines; Trionychidae. The record is from RefSeq and is a predicted model, not a curated record.
AGCGAGAGGGGGGCGAGGCGGCCCCGCUGCUGGCGGGGGAGGGGAGUGCCUGGCCCCAGGAGCACUGGUGCCGCGGGUGGAAACGCGAGCUCGCCUGCGAGGCAGCUGCAAAAGCGGUUCCCGAUUAGGGCGACGCCGAAGAGAAAGUUCUUGUGAAGCGGUCGCUGGGCUUGGGCAGGGCUGGGAGAUGUGCGCAGCCACCGCAACCAGCCCUGGCAAGCCCAGCGGGGGCUCCUACCUGUUAAUAAAGGACAUCGCCGCUGACUCCCCCUGGGGAAAUGACUGUGUCUGCCUACGCUUCACCACCUAGGUUCAUUUUCCUGAAUGGUUUGUGCCCCCUUUGCUCUGCCUAGAGUCCGAUCUGCUACACAGUUCACCUGCCCUCCUCCCGCACAAGUCAGCAUCUCCGUGUCUCCGUCAGUAUGUCUCAUUCUCUGCCCUAGUCUGGCUGAGCAUCUCCCGAGCCGGUUUAAUUGAGAUUAAACUUGUUGGUAGGAGUCGUGGGAGGCUUCACUGUAUCAGGAAGAGAAGCGGGUCUGCAGAGAGGCUUUUGUUGCUACAGUACUGGACUGAGGCUUAGAUCUGGAUCCUGGCGAUAGCUAUAAGAUUUUCUUAUUAAAUGAAUCGGUUACGUGAGAUGGAGUGCUUUGGAUUAUUCAGUGCAGCAUUUGAAAAAACCCCCCACCAAUACCACAUGGACAGUAAUAGAUAGUUCUCACUUCUGAUAUUUACAAAACAGAAAGGAAUACAUACAAGGAUGCCAAACUCUUUGUCCUGAGAAGUAUGAUGCAGACAAUGCAAUUGAAAGGAUGAGUACACAAUUUUCAGAUCCUAGAAGGAAGCCCUUUAGCAUGAUUACAGUUCUUAUAUCACAUUACAUGUAACUUGACUCUCAGACUAACUCAGCUGUCCCCUGAAGCUCCCACUGUUUUGUCUUUUUUAAUCAUACGUUGAAGCUCCAUGUCAGUGCAACUAUCCAGUUUUUGUCUUUGCUCUGCUUUUGCCCACGUUUGGAAGAAUUUGAAAUGACUAUGUGACUUUUAAGGACACAUGAGAAUCUGAGACAUGUGUUUCCAAUCAUUUGACCCUCAACUGUUAGGGAUGAUUUUGGAUUCAAGUUGAAGAGCUUGCAGCAGAAACCGUCUGGUCA